Molecule: ribosomal RNA, 428 nt
Filed under: uncultured bacterium
Lineage: Bacteria
Description: partial 16S ribosomal RNA
Rfam family: Bacterial small subunit ribosomal RNA
Source: RNAcentral
GUAGGGAAUAUUGCGCAAUGGGGGAAACCCUGACGCAGCGACGCCGCGUGAGUGAUGAAGGCCUUCGGGUCGUAAAGCUCUGUUGCAGGGGAAUAAAAAAAUGAAGGUACCCUGUGAGGAAGGAUCGGCUAACUUCGUGCCAGCAGCCGCGGUAAGACGAGGGAUCCUAGCGUUGCUCGGAAUCAUUGGGCGUAAAGAGGGCGUAGGUGGCUUGGUAAGUCAGGUGUGAAAGCACAGGGCUCAACCCUGGAAGUGCAUUUGAUACUGCUGAGCUUGAGUGUCGGAGAGGUUACCGGAAUACCUGGUGUAGUGGUGAAAUACGUAGAUAUCAGGUGGAACACCGGAGGCGAAGGCGGGUAACUGGACGAACACUGACACUGAGGCCCGAAAGCGUGGGGAUCAAACAGGAUUAGAAACCCGUGUAGUCC